GACCCCGUAGCUCAGCUGGAUAGAGCACCAGCCUUCUAAGUUGGGGGUCGCGCGUUCGAAUCGCGCCGGGGUCGCCA
RNAcentral lists this transfer RNA (77 nucleotides) under Candidatus Heimdallarchaeota archaeon. Its description in RNAcentral is "tRNA-Arg". It matches the Rfam family "tRNA". Rfam says of the family: Transfer RNA (tRNA) molecules are approximately 80 nucleotides in length. Their secondary structure includes four short double-helical elements and three loops (D, anti-codon, and T loops). The record is from RNAcentral. RNAcentral also lists the same sequence under 2 other names. Lineage: Archaea; Promethearchaeati; Candidatus Heimdallarchaeota.